UAGUCCACGCCGUAAACGAUGUCUACUAGGUGUUGGGGACUCUGACGUUCUCAAGACCGGAGCAAAAGUGUUAAGUAGACCGCCUGGGGAGUACGGUCGCAAGGCUAAAACUCAAAGGAAUUGACGGGGGCUCACACAAGCGGUGGAGCAUGUGGAUUAAUUCGAAGCAACGCGCAGAACCUUACCUGGGUUUGACAUGUUUGGAUGCCUAUCUGGAAACAGAGUCGGCUGCCCUUCGGGGUGAAACUUACACAGGUGCUGCAUGGCUGUCGUCAGCUCGUGUCGUGAGAUGUCGGGUUAAGUCCUUAAACGAGCGAAACCCCUACCGUUAGUUGCCAGCGCGUCAUGGCGGGGACUCUAACGGGACUGCCGGUGUUAAACCGGAGGAAGGUGGGGAUAACGGUCAAGUCCUCAUGGCCUUUAUGCCCCAGGGGCCUCACACGUGCUACAAUGGGUGACUACAGAGCGACGCGAUACCGCGAGGGU
This 486-nucleotide ribosomal RNA is filed under the name uncultured bacterium. RNAcentral's name for it is "bacterial SSU rRNA". It matches the Rfam family "Bacterial small subunit ribosomal RNA", at positions 791 to 1264 of the family's 1533-position model. The record is from RNAcentral.